AUUUUGUUUUCGAGGUAAAAAUCUCAUUGAAAAUCUUGAUAUUCUUAUCCCAGUUUGCUUGAUUUACAACGGACACUGCCUUUUUGCGCCGCUCGUAUGUAUGAGAACUCUUCAAACAAGAACUAGAAGAAUAUUUUUAUUCACCGGUAAGAUUUUUACGGAUUUUUAUAUAUGAAUAUUUCUAGAUUCUGGCUUGCUUGAUUAAACUCGAUAGAAAUACAAAUCCCUGUAGGAAAAAUGGUUGGGAAUUCUGUAAUUUUAUUGUUCUUGUGAUUUACCACUAGCUUCUGUGUUUUCAUAUGGUUUUAAAGGCUGCUUGUGGUGUUAAAAUCCUUACUGAGCACUUAUAUAUUGAUUUAGUACUACAGACUUCAGUGUUAUAGAGAUACGGUAUAUUAAAGCAAAUUUUCCCUGACAAACUUUGAGUGAUAUAUAUGUAUAUCCUUGCCAGGUUCUUGUAGCAGUUAUUUAUAAUUUCAUACUGUGUAGUGAUAUUAAAUGUCACUUCUACAACAGGCAAACUGAAAAAUUGCUUUGCUAGGCCAAAGAUAAUGUAUCAAGUUCAAACCAUUCAAAUGAUUAUUGACCCAUUGCAAUCAAGCAAUAACCAUAAACCUCUGAAUAUCUAAGCCCCAAUGACAGACCCCAAAUAUAAGCCCUCCUGUGUAGAACGGCCACCAUAAGAAAUUCUGAAUAUAAUUAAGCCCUCUCCCAAAUUUAAGUCCCACAGUCUGUGUUAGCCAAUGGACUUAUUUUUGGACAGGUAUUUUUUAAUGCAGCAAAGGGAUCCAUUCCAACAGCUCAGCCAUCAAAAAUGCUGAUGAAUGCAUACAAGCAUUCAGAGGUUUACAUGGUACAUUCAUCUGGCCAACAUAGUUUGUCAGAGUUCUAUAAAUCCCACAGCCAUUAGAGUUGUAGUUAAGUAUUUGUAGGAACGAAGGGUGUGUACGUGCCAGCCAAUGCAUAUUCUCUCAAUCACUGCCCUUGACAUUGACCGAAAUUGUGCCCUGACAAUUAACCAAUUAAAUUGAUGAUUGAUAACAUGUUUGAGAGCAUCUUCAGUGGGAAUGUUACUGUUCCCAGUAUUGGAGUAGAGCCCAACUGUUCAGUUAGACAUUAUUUAUGAACUUUCUCUCUUAGACCUGCAUACAUUAGAUUAUUUUGAUAUAUUCUAAUGUAAAAUGAAACUUUGGGAUAGUUAAGAAAUACAAUUAGUCCAUUUAUAAUGGACAAUUGUCAUCUUGACAAGUAAAAUUUCCUGGCAUAUUAGACGGGCUUAUAAAUGCCAGAACUUAUAUAUGUAUAUUUACUGAGUGAGUCAAUUUAUUUGACAUACCAUGAUAUUAAUUAACCAUUAGGUUGCAUUGUGCCCUAAUGCACCCUACUUUAUUAUUUUACUCUGUCUAACACCAGACAGUUGUGGACUGGAGAGCCAUGCAUUAACAUAUCAAUAAUGUCUAAGUGAACAGUUUAGGCUCUGCUCUACAGUAAAUUUCCCUGUAAUCGGAGUCUGGGAUCUGUGACCCAAUACAUCUUCAGUGUCUUCAUAUGAUGCUGUCACUAUUUUAUAUGUAUAAUGGACAUUUCUCAUUCAGGGCGAAACUGAUGUAAGUCAUGUGGACAAGAAAUUAAUACAAGUUCUUUCGAAUGUGAAAAAAAAGAGUAGUGGUGCACUACCUCUUGCCAGACCUAACUGGCAGAACUAACAAUGACUUUUCUCUAUAAUUUUGUGGGAAUGUGUUAUAUUUACUCUGUACAAACAGCCAAAAAAUGAUGCAUGAGCUCUAGUUUUAAUAAUACUGUAUUAUAUAUUUUAAAAUUAUUCACUGCAUGGUC
This 1836-nucleotide long non-coding RNA is filed under the name Paramuricea clavata. Lineage: Eukaryota; Metazoa; Cnidaria; Anthozoa; Malacalcyonacea; Plexauridae. The record is from RNAcentral.